GGUGCGAAAGCAGGUCAUAGUGAUCCGGUGGUUCUGAAUGGAAGGGCCAUCGCUCAACGGAUAAAAGGUACUCCGGGGAUAACAGGCUGAUACCGCCCAAGAGUUCAUAUCGACGGCGGUGUUUGGCACCUCGAUGUCGGCUCAUCACAUCCUGGGGCUGAAGUAGGUCCCAAGGGUAUGGCUGUUCGCCAUUUAAAGUGGUACGCGAGCUGGGUUUAGAACGUCGUGAGACAGUUCGGUCCCUAUCUGCCGUGGGCGCUGGAGAACUGAGGGGGGCUGCUCCUAGUACGAGAGGACCGGAGUGGACGCAUCACUGGUGUUCGGGUUGUCAUGCCAAUGGCACUGCCCGGUAGCUAAAUGCGGAAGAGAUAAGUGCUGAAAGCAUCUAAGCACGAAACUUGCCCCGAGAUGAGUUCUCCCUGACCCUUUAAGGGUCCUGAAGGAACGUUGAA
This 452-nucleotide ribosomal RNA is filed under the name Shigella flexneri. RNAcentral describes it as "partial 23S ribosomal RNA". It matches the Rfam family "Bacterial large subunit ribosomal RNA", at positions 2396 to 2842 of the family's 2925-position model. Lineage: Bacteria; Pseudomonadati; Pseudomonadota; Gammaproteobacteria; Enterobacterales; Enterobacteriaceae. The record is from RNAcentral.